Molecule: transfer RNA, 75 nt
Filed under: Acidobacteriota bacterium
Lineage: Bacteria; Pseudomonadati; Acidobacteriota
Description: Acidobacteria bacterium (activated sludge metagenome) tRNA-Ile
Rfam family: tRNA
About the family: Transfer RNA (tRNA) molecules are approximately 80 nucleotides in length. Their secondary structure includes four short double-helical elements and three loops (D, anti-codon, and T loops).
Source: RNAcentral
UGCGGGAUAGUUCAGUGGUAGAACCUCGGACUCAUAACCCGAACGUCGCCGGUUCGAUUCCGGCUCCCGCUUCCA